Molecule: long non-coding RNA, 513 nt
Filed under: Brassica napus (rape)
Lineage: Eukaryota; Viridiplantae; Streptophyta; Magnoliopsida; Brassicales; Brassicaceae
Description: long non-coding RNA (BNAP_LNC010705)
Source: RNAcentral
UAAUCAAUCCAUAAAUGAAAAAGAAAAACAGAGAUUAUUGAUUAUCAGAAGAAGACACAGAUAAUUAUAUCUGAGCGAGCCAUAAAUUACAAAACGAGCUCAAACAUACAAGAACACACACCAAGCUCCAAAAUCAAGAACAACACAAAAGUAAAACAAGCCACAAUAGUUACCAAACUAUAGUCAUUGAUUAUGUACAUGUAACGAAACAAGACUUUGUUGGUAGCGGCUCUUCAACAUAGAGAGAAAGAGAAUAUGACCCGUAGCACAGAGAAAACCAGAACACAGAAAGAACCAUAAAUUGAAACCCCAAACACAUGAACACAGAUGGAAAGACUCAGAAAAAAAUCAAACCAGAGAUAAGAACAAUCUUAAUCGAGGACUAAUCAGAACAAUCAUUUAUCCCCAAUUCAAAACCCUAACACUGAAACCAAUUGAAACCCUACUCGAUGACUAAUACAGAACAAUAAAUAGCAGAAGAAGAAGAGAGAACGAUGAUUCGCGAGUUGUUCG